RNAcentral lists this ribosomal RNA (163 nucleotides) under Saxifraga oppositifolia. RNAcentral's name for it is "5.8S ribosomal RNA". It matches the Rfam family "5.8S ribosomal RNA". Rfam says of the family: 5.8S ribosomal RNA (5.8S rRNA) is a component of the large subunit of the eukaryotic ribosome. The record is from RNAcentral. Lineage: Eukaryota; Viridiplantae; Streptophyta; Magnoliopsida; Saxifragales; Saxifragaceae.
AAUGACUCUCGGCAACGGAUAUCUCGGCUCUUACAUCGAUGAAGAACGUAGCAAAAUGCGAUACUUGGUGUGAAUUGCAGAAUCCCGUGAACCAUCGAGUCUUUGAACGCAAGUUGCGCCCGAAUCCAUCUGGUUGAGGGCACGUCUGCCUGGGUGUCACGUA